UGGCAUUCACAUUCACCCUAUCUACAUAAUCGCACCUCUCGCUCGCUCUGCCGCUGAUCGACGUGGCGUGCAUAUUUCGAUUGCAUUUUGAUAUAGAGUUUUAGUGUUGGUUUUUGUAGCUUUUUCUGCGUUCUUAGAUUAGUUUAGGCGCCGCCACUGUCACCGACUCUCUCUCUCUCUCUCUCGCUCUCGCUCUGGCUCUCAGUCUCUGUCGCACAGUCGGGUGACAAAAGUUGCUCGGUGUCAGGCCCGAGAGACAUGAUCAGCAUCACAGCCCAACCCAUCCCACUUUUCGGUCUUCGUGUCGCGUCUCAGCUGUUGCUCUUCAUCUUCACCUUCGUCUCGUCUCGUCUUUAUCUUUAUACUACUGUUAUCGCAUCAUUGUAGUUGAGGGGGCUUUUGCCUUAAUAAGUAAGGGUUCCGUUUUAGCCCACGCAUUUCUUUCAGGCCGUGUCAAAUCUAAAUCAAUUAUCCCAACCCAACGGAUGAGGGUCUUGGGUAAGAAAAAUGUCUUUUAUCAUCGACAUUAUUUCAAAGGUCAUAUGGAUCAUUCAGCGAAAAUGUAAUGGCUCUCGACGGACCAUUGUCAACCCACAUGAUAUCUGUCGUACCCACAUCAAAACUAUCCGAGGCAAACGGAAACCCCUGAAUCUGAAUCUGUAUCUGAAUCUGAAUGCAGCCAACUCUACACAGAAAUGCAGCAGUCUGGUUUUGGAACUGGAACCUCGUAUCGCUGCGUUUGUUGGGCACCUUCUAUGGCAAAGAAAGUGUAUCUGUGUGAGUUUAUCUUUGGCCUGGUUGCCUGUGUGUGUGCGUGGUGUGCGUGCCUCGAUGACAUUCGCUCAUGGCGGUUUUAUAGUUGUCGAAAUGCCCUCUGACAAUGAAUGAUCUCAACCCCAGUCUCAAAAUGAGUUGCAUGAUAGUGCACCUAUGCCUAUGGAUGUUUGAACAUACAUAUGUGAAGGGUUUUCACGCUUUUCUGUUUCGAGUGUUAAAAAGUCUCAUUUUGCUUGCACACUUUCUUCGGAUGGCCACGCAGCAUCCCAUUUGGUGGAGAGGUUCGCUUAAAAGGGGGUCUUUUGGAGUGGUAUGUACAUACACAUGUAAGUAGAGGAGGAAGAGCCGGCCGGCUUGCCUAGUUGAAAGCCGGUUUCCCAAAGAUCCCUGCUUGAAUAAAAAGUAGUUACUCGAGUGGUUCGCUGCAGCGCGUCGUGUAGAGAGUCUCAGAAGAGCCAGAGAGCUCUCCAUUAUUAUCCCCCUGUUCAUUCUUCCCCUGUCUUCCCCUUCAUUCAGGGUUGGCACUUCCUCCCCUUGCAUCUCGUACUGCAAUGCUCUAUCUUUUCUCUUCUCUUCACUACUCUCUUUGGCUGCACUCGAAAUUGCUGGCACUUGCGUGGGCCUCUGUCUGUACCCUCUGGCAAAUUUAGUAGCUGCUUCUCCCUACAUACUCGUAUACAUAUGUAUGUACAUACUCGUAUUUGUAUGUAUCUUGUCUAUUCCUGUAACGAUUUCCAUAUUUUCAUAUGUACAUCUUUUUGAGGCAGUUGUAAUUAUAGUUCGUUGCUUUCGAGCGGAGCGGAGCGGAUGUGCUUUGCUUGGUGGACAAUUUACAAAAUUCAAUUUAUGAAUUUAUGAACUUAUACGGGUGGCUUGCAGUCUUGUCACUCUUCGCCACUCUCUCACUCAGAAAAGAUAUACGAUAUAGUCUGUACAUACAUACAUAGGUGUAUAUGGUAGGUACAAAGUUGAGGAAGCUAUCGGUAUUUAUUAUAUAAAUAAUUAAACAGGAAUCCACGUGCGCCUGAAAUCGUGGGGUGAUGAAACCGGCAGGCACUUCAGUAUCAGGCACGAAAAUAUUGGCUAGCGGCGCUUGGUUAUCAGUGAAAUUCAAUAAAUUUUAGUCAUAGUAUAGCCUACACAAUAUACAGUACACGGUACUAGUUUGUGAAGCCCUCUUGGGAGAAUCUAAUUUUAGAAAUGGGGCGCGCGACUUAGAAGAUUUUUGCUCAUUAUCAAUGCAUAUUGAAUUGCUGAUGAACUGCGCAGCAUAAACUUAAAUCAUAAAUAUAGAACUGGUUUAUUUUUGGGCAGAGAUAAUACCCAGAGCGCAGGAGCGUGUCGGCCGAUGGCCAUGCCAUGCCGUAACUGACCUAGAGCACAUGAUCGUAGCGUGAUCGCCGAAAGAAAGCACCGAGAAGAUAAACGACACGAAUUUUCUUCUUGGCAAAGAUCUCUCACAUCAAAACAGUUCUUCCGCAACGGAAACGGCACGGAAUAACAUAGUCGCAAAAAGGUUUUACUAUAAAUAAACCAAGGGAUAGACAUUCGCAACAUGCUAAGAGCGGAAUUCCCAUUCACAUGACAGUUUUUACCCAGAGUGUGAUCUUUUUAACCAUCUUAGACCGUCUUCGUUCUGUUCUAUUCUGUUGUGUGUGUUUUCCCUUUGCUUUCAAACGUAACGGAUCCGAUCGCGUAAUUUUCCAUUGGAACUAAUACGAUCGGGGAUCGGCGAUCGGCGAUUGGCGGUCAUCGGUGAUCACUGAUCAGCAUUAAAACAAACUUAAUUAUGCGAUUCAUAUAUACUCGUAGAUGUAUGUAUAGAAAGUCAUCGAGCAAACAGCAGGCGAGCGAGUCUGAGGCCUGAACCGACCACAGCUGAUCACGUUUUCGCUUGCUGCUUCAGAUAGUGGUCCUGGCAAUAGUUCCAUUGACAUCGCCAGACGACGACGACGACGACGGCGGCGGCUAUCUGCCCAGACCCGACGCACAUCGACGCAAUGUCUGAUAUCGCGCGUGUCUGCGCUGAUAGCUGAUAGCGAGCCCCUAAUUGAGUGCUCCCCAAACACCCUAAAAAUAGUUAGACUCGACCUCUUCAUUAUUCCCAUGUUAAUCACCGAACCAAUAGACACAGUGACCAACGAAAGGGAAUGCCACUUAUCAACAUCUGUUUGCCAGACCAAGUUGAGUAGACGGGGUGUAAGUCGAGUGUUUACUGUGGCUAAUGUAUUUGAUUUUCAAGUUUGGCUCGUGUGCUGGCGCUUCAAAAGGGUUCCGUUAUACCUUCCAAGGCAGUGAUGAGAUAGUUAGCCGUAGACACCCACCUGAUUAGGUAAUACUUAAAGUCCAAAGAAAAUCAAUAUGGGGGUUACAUGUAAUACACCAUAAUUUUUGUUUAGUUUAUAUAUAUCUUGAUCUUACUGGUUAUCCAUAUGUAUCUUUUCGAAACAUCAGAAUCGACUACUCCUACAUCAUAAAGAUCCUACAGAUCCGCUUCUCUACUCAUUAGCCUUUCUUUCUUUCAAUUUCAUUUAAAACUUGAUCUCAUCCUAAAAAUUCAGAGUCAACAUGUGUGCAAAAACAGAUUCACUAAUUGACAGGUUCCAAAUUGCAUUAUUUUCUCUCUCACCUGAUGAAAUAUAUUUGCAUACAUUUGGCCAUUUUUUAUAUAUUUUUGCGUUGCUAUCGGAUAAAAAAUUAAGGAAACCACAUAAAAUAAAUAAAUAAUAUGAGCAACAAUUUAGAAAUAAUUUAGAAAAUUUUACCAAAUGUUUAAUGAUGCAUAACAAAAUCCUUUAACUUAGUCAGUUUCCUUGAUCCACUACUCUCGAUCUUUCUCUCAACAUAACCGCCAAGAGAUACUCGUAAUCAAUUCCGCCUUUCUUCAAGACCAGGGAUAGCAGUAAAAGCUGUUGAACAUCUUUCCUGUUUCCGGUUUAUGCUACAAGCAUUAACAUAAAAGUGCGCGAAAUCAAGUUCAAAAAUAUAUAUACGCUUGGAUUCAAUGUUGAACGCGUACAUUGCACUGCCCAGAAUUAAAAAUAAUGUAUCUGUAGAGCUGCUUGACGACAUACUUAUAUACAUACAUAGAUAGAUAGAUAUAUAUUUACAUCUAGAAAUGCCUAGACAAGUUUUACAAUUUACAUGGCCGUGCGAAUGAAUCAGUGGGACAAGCAGAGCAAUCUGCUUCUUGCUUUUUGCUCGAACAUCUAUAAAGUAUCUGAUAAAUGCGCAGCACACUUAGAAUUUGGCAAAAUUUUGAUUUAAUUAACCUUCUAUUUGGUGGAGAGGUCAGUCGCAAUCUGGACUAGAAUCAGUUUUUAUAUGGUCUUUGCUUCUGUACGCGAUUUCUUUUUGGUAAAGGAGGUCAGUGAACUGUUUUAUUAUUAUUUUAAGAAGACUACCGAUUCUUAUAUUUCUAUCUUAGUUUUAUAUUUUGCUUACAUAUUUACGUACGUAUGAGGAGAUUAUUGAGGAUAAGAAGACCCGCGAUAUGGUUAUCUAGAGAGGUUUCAGUCGCCUUGAUUUUGUGCCGUUUUCUCGGUAAACUUUUUCAGUACAAGGUAAUCGCGUAUUCUCCUCUGCGAAAUGUUUGUCCAUUUUUUUAAUUUUACACGUAGCGUAGGUCUCAACUGGGUCACCUUUUGGCUUAUCAACGAGCGAACACAUAUAUAUGUACAUAUAUUGUAUAUAAAAUAGUAUAAAGAAUUAAACCGGAAUGCAAGGUGAUCAGAAAUGUGUAUAUCAAAUGUGAAGAUACCCUAGAUAACGAUAAGAAAUUGAUUAAGCUGAGGAUUAAAAUAACACAGUCUCUAAAUCAAGGUAGAAUUCAUUUUCUAGGGACAUACUUUUAUUGAAAACUUCGUUUUCAAAAACUUCUUAAAGCAAGAUUUAAAAACUUAUUU
This is a long non-coding RNA of Drosophila pseudoobscura, 4682 nucleotides long. RefSeq lists it as uncharacterized. The record is from RefSeq and is a predicted model, not a curated record. NCBI's taxonomy places the organism in Eukaryota, Metazoa, Arthropoda, Insecta, Diptera, Drosophilidae. The transcript is spliced from 2 exons.